GCCGGGCAUGGUGGCGGGUGCCUGUAAUCCCAGGUACUUGGGAGGCUGAGGUAGGAGAAUCACUUGAACCUGGGAGGCCGAGGUUGCAGUGAGCUGAGAUCGUGCCACUGCACUCCAGCCUGGGUGACAGAGUGAGACUCCAUCUUAA
Molecule: non-coding RNA, 148 nt
Filed under: Gorilla gorilla gorilla (western lowland gorilla)
Lineage: Eukaryota; Metazoa; Chordata; Mammalia; Primates; Hominidae
Source: Rfam by way of RNAcentral